AUUGAACGCUGGCGGCAUGCUUUACACAUGCCAGUCGAGCGGCAGCGCGGGGAGAGCUGGCGCUGAGCGGUGCCGAGGGGCGGACGGUUGAGGAAUACAUCUCAACCUGCGGGUUAGUACAGGGUAAGGUAGGGAAACAUACCGUAAGAGCUCAUACGACCAGCGGGGGAGAUCCGAGGGCCUCUCGCCCUGGCGCGGUUGCAUGUGCCGAUGUCCGAUUAGCUAGUUGGUGGGGUAAAGGCCUGCCAAGGCGACGAUCGGUAGCUGGUCUGAGAGGAUGAUCAGCCACACUGGAACUGAGACACGGUCCAGACUCCUACGGGAGGCAGCAGUGGGGAAUUUUGGACAAUGGGGGCAAGCCUGAUCCAGCCAUGCCGCGUGAGUGAAGAAGGCCUUCGGGUUGUAAAGCUCUUUCGGAGGGAAAGAAAAGGACCGGACUAAUACUCCGGUCUGAUGACGGUACCGAAAGAAGAAGCACCGGCUAACUUCGUG
RNAcentral lists this ribosomal RNA (492 nucleotides) under uncultured bacterium. RNAcentral describes it as "partial 16S ribosomal RNA". It matches the Rfam family "Bacterial small subunit ribosomal RNA", at positions 29 to 507 of the family's 1533-position model. The record is from RNAcentral.